UAACCAUGGUUUGGACAAUGAUUUAAUAAAUCUUUGAUGCACUCCCAAGCUUCAUAUAAUGUUUCAUUGUCCUUCUGGGUGAAAGUUGAGAUUUGCCGUUUAAGACC
Small nucleolar RNA from Humulus lupulus (European hop), 107 nucleotides. Lineage: Eukaryota; Viridiplantae; Streptophyta; Magnoliopsida; Rosales; Cannabaceae. The record is from RefSeq and is a predicted model, not a curated record.